This 329-nucleotide ribosomal RNA is filed under the name uncultured eukaryote. RNAcentral describes it as "partial 18S ribosomal RNA". It matches the Rfam family "Eukaryotic small subunit ribosomal RNA", at positions 1470 to 1796 of the family's 1831-position model. The record is from RNAcentral.
CCCUUAGAUGUUCUGGGCCGCACGCGCGCUACACUGAUGCAUUCAACGAGUCUAAAACCUGGUCUGAGAGGGCUGGGUAAUCUUUUGAAAGUGCAUCGUGAUUGGGAUAGAUGAUUGCAAUUCUUCAUCUUCAACGAGGAAUGCCUAGUAAACGCAAGUCAUCAGCUUGCAUUGAUUACGUCCCUGCCCUUUGUACACACCGCCCGUCGCUCCUACCGAUUGAACGAUCCGAUGAAAACUGUGGAUUGGGAGUCUGAGUGGGUUCGCCUACCUCAACUUUCGAGAAGCGGUUUAAAUCUUAUCGUUUAGAGGAAGGAGAAGUCGUAACA